This 391-nucleotide ribosomal RNA is filed under the name Brucella inopinata. Its description in RNAcentral is "bacterial SSU rRNA". It matches the Rfam family "Bacterial small subunit ribosomal RNA", at positions 21 to 442 of the family's 1533-position model. Lineage: Bacteria; Pseudomonadati; Pseudomonadota; Alphaproteobacteria; Hyphomicrobiales; Brucellaceae. The record is from RNAcentral.
GGCUCAGAACGAACGCUGGCGGCAGGCUUAACACAUGCAAGUCGAGCGCCCCGCAAGGGGAGCGGCAGACGGGUGAGUAACGCGUGGGAACGUACCAUUUGCUACGGAAUAACUCAGGGAAACUUGUGCUAAUACCGUAUGAGCCCGAAAGGGGAAAGAUUUAUCGGCAAAUGAUCGGCCCGCGUUGGAUUAGCUAGUUGGUGGGGUAAAGGCCUACCAAGGCGACGAUCCAUAGCUGGUCUGAGAGGAUGAUCAGCCACACUGGGACUGAGACACGGCCCAGACUCCUACGGGAGGCAGCAGUGGGGAAUAUUGGACAAUGGGCGCAAGCCUGAUCCAGCCAUGCCGCGUGAGUGAUGAAGGCCCUAGGGUUGUAAAGCUCUUUCACCGG